CACUCCUGCGGGAGGCAGCAGUGGGGAAUUUUGGACAAUGGGCGAAAGCCUGAUCCAGCAAUGCCGCGUGAGUGAAGAAGGCCUUCGGGUUGUAAAGCUCUUUUGUCAGGGAAGAAACGGUGAAAGCUAAUAUCUUUUGCUAAUGACGGUACCUGAAGAAUAAGCACCGGCUAACUACGUGCCAGCAGCCGCGGUAAUACGUAGGGUGCAAGCGUUAAUCGGAAUUACUGGGCGUAAAGCGUGCGCAGGCGGUUUUGUAAGUCUGAUGUGAAAUCCCCGGGCUCAACCUGGGAAUUGCAUUGGAGACUGCAAGGCUAGAAUCUGGCAGAGGGGGGUAGAAUUCCACGUGUAGCAGUGAAAUGCGUAGAUAUGUGGAGGAACACCGAUGGCGAAGGCAGCCCCCUGGGUCAAGAUUGACGCUCAUGCACGAAAGCGUGGGGAGCAAACAGGAUUACAUACCCCGGUAGUCCCAU
RNAcentral lists this ribosomal RNA (473 nucleotides) under uncultured organism. Its description in RNAcentral is "partial 16S ribosomal RNA". It matches the Rfam family "Bacterial small subunit ribosomal RNA", at positions 334 to 798 of the family's 1533-position model. The record is from RNAcentral.